This 426-nucleotide ribosomal RNA is filed under the name uncultured bacterium. Its description in RNAcentral is "bacterial SSU rRNA". It matches the Rfam family "Bacterial small subunit ribosomal RNA", at positions 355 to 773 of the family's 1533-position model. The record is from RNAcentral.
UGGGGAAUUUUGGACAAUGGGCGCAAGCCUGAUCCAGCAAUGCCGCGUGCAGGAUGAAGGCCUUCGGGUUGUAAACUGCUUUUGUACGGAACGAAAAGGCUCUGGUUAAUACCUGGGGCUCAUGACGGUACCGUAAGAAUAAGCACCGGCUAACUACGUGCCAGCAGCCGCGGUAAUACGUAGGGUGCAAGCGUUAAUCGGAAUUACUGGGCGUAAAGCGUGCGCAGGCGGUUAUGUAAGACAGAUGUGAAAUCCCCGGGCUCAACCUGGGACCUGCAUUUGUAACUGCAUAGCUAGAGUACGGCAGAGGGGGAUGGAAUUCCGCGGGUAGCAGUGAAAUGCGUAGAUAUGCGGAGGAACACCGAUGGCGAAGGCAAUCCCCUGGGCCUGUACUGACGCUCAUGCACGAAAGCGUGGGGAGCAAAC